GACGAACGCUGGCGGCGUGCUUAACACAUGCAAGUCGAACGGAAAGGCCCUGCUUUUGUGGGGUGCUCGAGUGGCGAACGGGUGAGUAACACGUGAGUAACCUGCCCUUGACUUUGGGAUAACUUCAGGAAACUGGGGCUAAUACCGGAUAGGAGCUCCUGCUGCAUGGUGGGGGUUGGAAAGUUUCGGCGGUUGGGGAUGGACUCGCGGCUUAUCAGAUUGUUGGUGGGGUAGUGGCUUACCAAGGCUUUGACGGGUAGCCGGCCUGAGAGGGUGACCGGCCACAUUGGGACUGAGAUACGGCCCAGACUCCUACGGGAGGCAGCAGUGGGGAAGAUUGCACAAUGGGCGGAAGCCUGAUGCAGCAACGCCGCGUGCGGGAUGACGGCCUUCGGGUUGUAAACCGCUUUCGCCUGUGACGAAGCGUGAGUGACGGUAAUGGGUAAAGAAGCACCGGCUAACUACGUG
This 468-nucleotide ribosomal RNA is filed under the name uncultured bacterium. RNAcentral describes it as "partial 16S ribosomal RNA". It matches the Rfam family "Bacterial small subunit ribosomal RNA", at positions 28 to 507 of the family's 1533-position model. The record is from RNAcentral.